This 406-nucleotide ribosomal RNA is filed under the name uncultured bacterium. RNAcentral describes it as "partial 16S ribosomal RNA". It matches the Rfam family "Bacterial small subunit ribosomal RNA", at positions 29 to 526 of the family's 1533-position model. The record is from RNAcentral.
AUUGAACGCUGGCGGCAGGCCUAACACAUGCAAGUCGAGCGAGCGGAGGACGGGUGAGUAAUGUCGGGGAAACUGCCUGAUGGAGGGGGAUAACUACUGGAAACGGUAGAUAAUACCGCAUACCAUCAGAUGUGGCCAGAUGGGAGUAGCUAGUAGGUGGGGUAAUGGCUCACCGAGGCGACGAUCCCUAGCUGGUCUGAGAGGAUGACCAGCCACACUGGAACUGAGACACGGUCCAGACUCCUACGGGAGGCAGCAGUGGGGAAUAUUGCACAAUGGGCGCAAGCCUGAUGCAGCCAUGCCGCGUGUGUGAAGAAGGCCUUCGGGUUGUAAAGCACUGUCAGCGAGGAGGCGUUACUCGCAGAAGAAGCACCGGCUAACUCCGUGCCAGCAGCCGCGGUAAUUC